This 385-nucleotide ribosomal RNA is filed under the name uncultured bacterium. RNAcentral's name for it is "bacterial SSU rRNA". It matches the Rfam family "Bacterial small subunit ribosomal RNA", at positions 28 to 417 of the family's 1533-position model. The record is from RNAcentral.
GAUGAACGCUAGCGGGAGGCCUAAUACAUGCAAGUCGAACGGUAAGGUCCCUUCGGGUGCCGGCGAGUGGCGAACGGGUGAGUAAUAUAUCGGAACGUACCUUUCAGUGGGGGAUAACGUAGCGAAAGUUACGCUAAUACCGCAUAUUCUGUGAGCAGGAAAGCAGGGGAUCGCAAGACCUUGCGCUGAUUGAGCGGCCGAUAUCAGAUUAGCUAGUUGGUGAGGUAAAGGCUCACCAAGGCGACGAUCUGUAGCGGGUCUGAGAGGAUGAUCCGCCACACUGGAACUGAGACACGGUCCAGACUCCUACGGGAGGCAGCAGUGGGGAAUUUUGGACAAUGGGCGCAAGCCUGAUCCAGCCAUGCCGCGUGAGUGAAGAAGGCCU